This 961-nucleotide ribosomal RNA is filed under the name uncultured organism. RNAcentral describes it as "bacterial SSU rRNA". It matches the Rfam family "Bacterial small subunit ribosomal RNA", at positions 168 to 1130 of the family's 1533-position model. The record is from RNAcentral.
ACUCCAUAGUACUAAUGAAUCACCUGGUUUAUUAGUUAAAACUCCGGUGGUAAAAGAUGGGCAUGCGUGUCAUUAGCUAGUUGGUAAGGUAACGGCUUACCAAGGCGAAGAUGACUAGGGGUUCUGAGAGGAAGAUCCCCCACACUGGUACUGAGACACGGACCAGACUCCUACGGGAGGCAGCAGUGAGGAAUAUUGGUCAAUGGGUGAGAGCCUGAACCAGCCAUGCCGCGUGAAGGAAGACUGCCCUAUGGGUUGUAAACUUCUUUUCUGCAGGAAGAAAUCACUCUACGUGUAGGGUGUUGCCGGUACUGCAGGAAUAAGCAUCGGCUAACUCCGUGCCAGCAGCCGCGGUAAUACGGAGGAUGCAAGCGUUACCCGGAUUUAUUGGGUUUAAAGGGUGCGUAGGCGGGCUUGUAAGUCAGUGGUGAAAUGCUGUGGCUUAACCAUAGAAUUGCCAUUGAAACUGCAAGUCUUGAGUACAGUUGAGGUGGGCGGAAUGAGUAAUGUAGCGGUGAAAUGCAUAGAUAUUACUCAGAACUCCGAUUGCGUAGGCAGCUUGCUAAACUGUAACUGACGCUGAUGCACGAAAGCGUGGGGAGCGAACAGGAUUAGAUACCCUGGUAGUCCACGCUGUAAACGAUGAGCACUGGUUGUUGGCAAUACACCGUCAGCGACUGAGCGAAAGUAUUAAGUGCUCCACCUGGGGAGUACGUCGGCAACGAUGAAACUCAAAGGAAUUGACGGGGGCCCGCACAAGCGGAGGAACAUGUGGUUUAAUUCGAUGAUACGCGAGGAACCUUACCUGGGCUUAAAUGUAGAGUGCAUUGCUUGGAAACAGGCAUUUUCUUCGGAACUCUUUACAAGGUGCUGCAUGGUUGUCGUCAGCUCGUGCCGUGAGGUGUCGGGUUAAGUCCCAUAACGAGCGCAACCCCUAUUGUUAGUUACCCAGCACGUAAUG